Molecule: ribosomal RNA, 390 nt
Filed under: uncultured bacterium
Lineage: Bacteria
Description: bacterial SSU rRNA
Rfam family: Bacterial small subunit ribosomal RNA
Source: RNAcentral
AAUGGGCGCAAGCCUGAUGCAGCGACGCCGCGUGAGGGAUGACGGCCUUCGGGUUGUAAACCUCUUUCAGCACAGACGAAGCGUGAGUGACGGUAUGUGCAGAAGAAGGACCGGCCAACUACGUGCCAGCAGCCGCGGUAAUACGUAGGGUCCGAGCGUUGUCCGGAAUUACUGGGCGUAAAGAGCUCGUAGGUGGUUUGUCGCGUUGUUCGUGAAAACUCACAGCUUAACUGUGGGCGUGCGGGCGAUACGGGCAGACUUGAGUACUGCAGGGGAGACUGGAAUUCCUGGUGUAGCGGUGGAAUGCGCAGAUAUCAGGAGGAACACCGGUGGCGAAGGCGGGUCUCUUGGCAGUAACUGACGCUGAGGAGCGAAAGCGUGGGGAGCGAA